UUGAUACAACGGUCUUGGAGUCCUCUUUGGAGUUGAUUCCUCGACCUUACCUACCCCAUGUGCACUGUAAUGUUUUUGGGACUUGCUGAUGUAUUGUUGCUAUUCUAGCAGCAGUAAUAGACGGUCCCAGCAGUAUAUAAACUCUAUUUAUAAUUUGUCUGAAAUGAACCAAAGAAUCGUAA
This 182-nucleotide unclassified non-coding RNA is filed under the name soil metagenome. RNAcentral's name for it is "partial internal transcribed spacer 1". The record is from RNAcentral.